This 882-nucleotide ribosomal RNA is filed under the name uncultured bacterium. RNAcentral's name for it is "bacterial SSU rRNA". It matches the Rfam family "Bacterial small subunit ribosomal RNA", at positions 70 to 947 of the family's 1533-position model. The record is from RNAcentral.
CUUAAGGGGCUUGCUCCUUAAGUUAGUGGCGAACGGGUGAGUAAUAUAUCGGAACGUAUCCAAUAAUGGGGGAUAACUAAUCGAAAGGUUGGCUAAUACCGCAUACGCCCUACGGGGGAAAGCAGGGGAUCUUCGGACCUUGCGUUAAUGGAGCGGCCGAUAUCUGAUUAGCUAGUUGGUGGGGUAAAGGCCCACCAAGGCGACGAUCAGUAGCUGGUCUGAGAGGACGACCAGCCACACUGGAACUGAGACACGGUCCAGACUCCUACGGGAGGCAGCAGUGGGGAAUUUUGGACAAUGGGCGAAAGCCUGAUCCAGCCAUUCCGCGUGAGUGAAGAAGGCCUUCGGGUUGUAAAGCUCUUUCGCAAGGAAAGAAAACUUACUUACUAAUACUAGGUGAGGAUGACGGUACCUUGAUAAGAAGCACCGGCUAACUACGUGCCAGCAGCCGCGGUAAUACGUAGGGUGCGAGCGUUAAUCGGAAUUACUGGGCGUAAAGCGUGCGCAGGCUGUUUUGUAAGUCAGAUGUGAAAUCCCUGGGCUCAACCUAGGAACUGCGUUUGAAACUACAAGGCUAGAGUGUAGCAGAGGGGGGUAGAAUUCCACGUGUAGCAGUGAAAUGCGUAGAGAUGUGGAGGAAUACCAAUGGCGAAGGCAGCCCCCUGGGUUAACACUGACGCUCAUGCACGAAAGCGUGGGGAGCAAACAGGAUUAGAUACCCUGGUAGUCCACGCCCUAAACGAUGUCUACUAGUUGUUGGGAGAGUAAAAUCUCUUAGUAACGCAGCUAACGCGUGAAGUAGACCGCCUGGGGAGUACGGUCGCAAGAUUAAAACUCAAAGGAAUUGACAGGGACCCGCACAAGCGGUGGAUGAUGUGGAUU